GGGAGUUUAGCUCAGUGGUAGAGUGUGUGCUUAGCAUGCACAAGGUCCUGGGUUCAGUCCCCAGUACCUCUA
Molecule: transfer RNA, 72 nt
Filed under: Camelus bactrianus (Bactrian camel)
Lineage: Eukaryota; Metazoa; Chordata; Mammalia; Artiodactyla; Camelidae
Also listed under: 2 other names
Rfam family: tRNA
About the family: Transfer RNA (tRNA) molecules are approximately 80 nucleotides in length. Their secondary structure includes four short double-helical elements and three loops (D, anti-codon, and T loops).
Source: Rfam by way of RNAcentral